GUGAGGAAUAUUGCGCAAUGGAGGCAACUCUGACGCAGCCAUGCCGCGUGCAGGAAGAAGGCGCUACGCGUUGUAAACUGCUUUUAACCGGGAAGAAACCCCAGGACGUGUCCUGGGUUGACGGUACCGGAGGAAUAAGCACCGGCUAACUUCGUGCCAGCAGCCGCGGUAAUACGAAGGGUGCAAGCGUUAUCCGGAUUCAUUGGGUUUAAAGGGUGCGUAGGCGGAGCGUUAAGUCAGUGGUGAAAUCCUGCAGCUUAACUGUAGACUUGCCAUUGAUACUGGCGCUCUUGAGUGUGCUUGAAGUGGGCGGAAUGUGCCGUGUAGCGGUGAAAUGCUUAGAUAUGGCACAGAACACCAAUUGCGAAGGCAGCUCACUAAGGCGAUACUGACGCUGAGGCACGAAAGCGUGGGGAUCGAACAGGAUUAGAAACCCCAGUAGUCC
RNAcentral lists this ribosomal RNA (445 nucleotides) under uncultured bacterium. Its description in RNAcentral is "partial 16S ribosomal RNA". It matches the Rfam family "Bacterial small subunit ribosomal RNA", at positions 354 to 796 of the family's 1533-position model. The record is from RNAcentral.